AUGAGUCGACCUGAUGGGAUCAACAUCCCCGAUGGGAAGUUCUACCUUGGAGUUGCUGGCUAUACAUGUCGGCCGGGUAUUCGUCCACCCUUCAGGAAAACAAGGUACCAUCUCAACGAGUUCUCUGGUAGGAACUAUCCUAGGACUGUACAAGAGCUGUUUAAUCUCAGACACUCCAGCCUUAGGGUAACUGUUGGGAGGGCAUUUGGAGCUCUGAAGAAUAGGUUUAAGAUCUUGGAUCAGAAGCCAUUCCACCCAUACUCCACUCAGGCUAAGCUUGUUCUUGCUUGUUGCAUUCUGCAUAACUGGAUCCUCUAG
RNAcentral lists this ribosomal RNA (318 nucleotides) under Triticum aestivum (bread wheat). Its description in RNAcentral is "partial small subunit ribosomal RNA". Lineage: Eukaryota; Viridiplantae; Streptophyta; Magnoliopsida; Poales; Poaceae. The record is from RNAcentral.